UACGUAGGGGGCAAGCGUUGUCCGGAAUCAUUGGGCGUAAAGAGCGUGUAGGCGGCCAGAUAAGUCCGCUGUGAAAUCUCGAGGCUCAACUUCGAGCUGUCGGUGGAAACUGUCUGGCUAGAGUCCGGAAGAGGAGAAUGGAAUUCCUGGUGUAGCGGUGAAAUGCGCAGAUAUCAGGAGGAACACCAAUUGCGAAGGCAGCUCGCUGGGACGUAACUGACGCUGAUGCGCGAAAGCGUGGGGAGCAAACAGG
Molecule: ribosomal RNA, 253 nt
Filed under: uncultured bacterium
Lineage: Bacteria
Description: partial 16S ribosomal RNA
Rfam family: Bacterial small subunit ribosomal RNA
Source: RNAcentral